Lentinula aciculospora is the source of this 92-nucleotide non-coding RNA. Lineage: Eukaryota; Fungi; Basidiomycota; Agaricomycetes; Agaricales; Omphalotaceae. The record is from the annotation of a GenBank genome assembly.
GGCGCUAUAGCCAAGUGGUUGCGGCGACAGAUUAGAACUGUCUUUGUAUCUGUUCCUCUUUGAGGGCGCAGGUUCGAAUCCUACUGGCGUCG